Molecule: ribosomal RNA, 467 nt
Filed under: uncultured bacterium
Lineage: Bacteria
Description: partial 16S ribosomal RNA
Rfam family: Bacterial small subunit ribosomal RNA
Source: RNAcentral
GACGAACGCUGGCGGCGUGCUUAACACAUGCCAGUCGAACGGAAAGGCCCUGCUUUUGUGGGGUGCUCGAGUGGCGAACGGGUGAGUAACACGUGAGUAACCUGCCCUUGACUUUGGGAUAACUUCAGGAAACUGGGGCUAAUACCGGAUAGGAGCUCCUGCUGCAUGGUGGGGGUUGGAAAGUUUCGGCGGUUGGGGAUGGACUCGCGGCUUAUCAGCUUGUUGGUGGGGUAGUGGCUUACCAAGGCUUUGACGGGUAGCCGGCCUGAGAGGGUGACCGGCCACAUUGGGACUGAGAUACGGCCCAGACUCCUACGGGAGGCAGCAGUGGGGAAUAUUGCACAAUGGGCGGAAGCCUGAUGCAGCAACGCCGCGUGCGGGAUGACGGCCUUCGGGUGGGAAACCGCUUUCGCCUGUGACGAGGCGUGAGUGACGGUAAUGGGUAAAGAAGCACCGGCUAACUACGU